UACAGGGGGGGCAAGCGUUGUUCGGAAUUACUGGGCGUAAAGGGCUCGUAGGCGGCCAACUAAGUCACACGUGAAAUCCCCAGGCUUAACCUGGGAACUGCGUGUGAUACUGGAUGGCUUGAAUCCGGGAGAGGGAUGUGGAAUUCCAGGUGUAGCGGUGAAAUGCGUAGAUAUCUGGAGGAACACCGGUGGCGAAGGCGGCAUCCUGGACCGGUAUUGACGCUGAGGCGCGAAAGCUAGGGGAGCAAACGGG
This 253-nucleotide ribosomal RNA is filed under the name uncultured bacterium. RNAcentral describes it as "partial 16S ribosomal RNA". It matches the Rfam family "Bacterial small subunit ribosomal RNA", at positions 524 to 776 of the family's 1533-position model. The record is from RNAcentral.